UACGUAGGGGCAAGCGUUGUCCGGAUUUACUGGCGUAAAGAGCGCGUAGGCGGAACGUUAAGUCCGGUUUGAAAGCCCCCGGCUCAACCGGGGAGAGUGGCUGGAAACUGGCGUUCUUGAGGGCGAUAGAGAGUGUGGAAUUCCGUGGUGUAGCGGUGAAAUGCGUAGAGAUCAGGAGGAACACCAGUGGCGAAGGCGCACUCUGGCCGGUGACUGACGCUGAGGAGCGAAAGCGUGGGAGCGAACAGG
This 249-nucleotide ribosomal RNA is filed under the name uncultured bacterium. Its description in RNAcentral is "partial 16S ribosomal RNA". It matches the Rfam family "Bacterial small subunit ribosomal RNA", at positions 524 to 776 of the family's 1533-position model. The record is from RNAcentral.